CCUACGGGUGGCAGCAGUGAGGAAUAUUGGUCAAUGGACGCAAGUCUGAACCAGCCAUGCCGCGUGCAGGAUGACGGCCCUAUGAGUUGUAAACUGCUUUUGUACGAGGGUAAACUCCGAUAUGUAUAUCGGUUUGCAUGUAUCUUAUGAAUAAGGAUCGGCUAACUCCGUGCCAGCAGCCGCGGUAAUACGGAGGAUCCGAGCGUUAUCCGGAUUUAUUGGGUUUAAAGGGUGCGUAGGCGGUUUGAUAAGUCAGUGGUGAAAUGUUGGGGCUCAACCCCGAAACUGCAGUUAAUACUGUUGGACUUGAGAAUAGUUGAGGUAGGCGGAAUGUAUGGUGUAGCGGUGAAAUGCUUAGAGAUCAUGCAGAACACCGAUUGCGAAGGCAGCUUACCAGACUAUAUCUGACGUUGAGGCACGAAAGCGUGGGUAGCAAACAGGAUUAGAUACCCGGGUAGUC
RNAcentral lists this ribosomal RNA (460 nucleotides) under uncultured bacterium. RNAcentral describes it as "partial 16S ribosomal RNA". It matches the Rfam family "Bacterial small subunit ribosomal RNA", at positions 338 to 795 of the family's 1533-position model. The record is from RNAcentral.